Molecule: ribosomal RNA, 463 nt
Filed under: uncultured bacterium
Lineage: Bacteria
Description: bacterial SSU rRNA
Rfam family: Bacterial small subunit ribosomal RNA
Source: RNAcentral
AUGAACGCUGGCGGCGUGCUUAAGACAUGCAAGUCGAACGCAGAAUGGUAGCAAUACGGUUCUGAGUGGCGAAUGGGUGCGUAACACGUAGGUGACCUGCCCAGAAGUGUGGAAUAACAGUCCGAAAGGACUGCUAAUACCGCAUGUGGCGCGCGGGGUUAGAGGCCCGCACGCGAAAGGUCUUCGGAUCGCUUCUGGAGGGGCCUGCGGCCCAUCAGUUAGUUGGUAGGGUAACGGCCUACCAAGACUACGACGGGUAGGGGACCUCAGAGGGUGGCCCCCCACACUGGCACUGACACACGGGCCAGACUCCUACGGGAGGCAGCAGUCGGGAAUAUUGCCCAAUGGUCGCAAGACUGAGGCAGCAACGCCGCGUGCGCGAUGAAGGCCUUCGGGUCGUAAAGCGCUUUUCAGUGGGAUGAGGAAGGACAGUACCACUGGAAUAAGGUACGGCUAACUACGU